RNAcentral lists this small RNA (67 nucleotides) under Gracilibacillus halotolerans. Its description in RNAcentral is "Bacillaceae-1 RNA". It matches the Rfam family "Bacillaceae-1 RNA". The record is from Rfam by way of RNAcentral. Lineage: Bacteria; Bacillati; Bacillota; Bacilli; Caryophanales; Bacillaceae.
UAUUGUUGAUGUUCGGCGAAUAACGCAACGUCCUGUUGCAACGCCGAACUGAAUUACAUCCUGUAAU